AGCAGUAGGGAAUCUUCCACAAUGGGCGCAAGCCUGAUGGAGCAACACCGCGUGAGUGAAGAAGGGUUUCGGCUCGUAAAACUCUGUUGUUAAAGAAGAACACGUAUGAGAGUAACUGUUCAUACGUUGACGGUAUUUAACCAGAAAGUCACGGCUAACUACGUGCCAGCAGCCGCGGUAAUACGUAGGUGGCAAGCGUUAUCCGGAUUUAUUGGGCGUAAAGAGAGUGCAGGCGGUUUUCUAAGUCUGAUGUGAAAGCCUUCGGCUUAACCGGAGAAGUGCAUCGGAAACUGGAUAACUUGAGUGCAGAAGAGGGUAGUGGAACUCCAUGUGUAGCGGUGGAAUGCGUAGAUAUAUGGAAGAACACCAGUGGCGAAGGCGGCUACCUGGUCUGCAACUGACGCUGAGACUCGAAAGCAUGGGUAGCGAACAGGAUUAGAUACCCUGGUAG
This 451-nucleotide ribosomal RNA is filed under the name uncultured bacterium. RNAcentral describes it as "bacterial SSU rRNA". It matches the Rfam family "Bacterial small subunit ribosomal RNA", at positions 350 to 793 of the family's 1533-position model. The record is from RNAcentral.